This 1683-nucleotide long non-coding RNA is filed under the name Canis lupus familiaris (dog). RNAcentral describes it as "lncRNA (ENSCAFG00030010400.1)". The record is from RNAcentral. Lineage: Eukaryota; Metazoa; Chordata; Mammalia; Carnivora; Canidae.
AUGCUCGAGAGAGACGGGAGGAAGCGCUCGCUACUCCUUCCAGGACGACAACCGAGGGUCAGUGGAGGGGGUCGCGGACGGCCGAGCACCAGGGGCACGUCUGUGCGGGCAGAGGGCAGCACAGCACCCCCAGGGCCUGAAGAAGUCGGGCGCCGGGCGCGCGAUUUCUCUCGAGAAGUCUGGACACACCGUAGUUUCCUAGGUCUUUGCACCCGCGAGCGAUCCCCCCCGGGUCCGGGGUCCCCCCCCCCCCCCGCCACUCACCCCACGGCCGCGGCUGGCGGUGCAGGAGGCUCGGGGCGCCGCGUCCGCCGGGAUCGCAGGGAGCGCGCCGGCUUCCGAGGCGCCGCGGGGGCGCGGGCGGGGGCGCGAGGUCCCCCCGGGAGCCGCCGAGAUGGGCGCCCACACGGCCGCGCGGGCUCGGCGGCGGCGGGGCGAGGGCGCGCUCCGGGCCGGGCGGGAACCAGCGAGCCUCCGCGCCCCGGAGCGCCGAGCGCCCACCCGGCCUCGGGCAGAGCCGCGGCGCGCCCGCCCCCCCGGGGCCCCUCGGGGCGGCCGCUCGGGGCGGGCCGGGGGGAGGGGGUCGCCCGGCCCCGCCCCGCCGCCCGGGGGACCCGCUCACGGCCCGCCCCCGCCCCGCAGCCGCGCGGAGUCCAGAAGCCGGCGGGGAACGGGUCCCGGUGCUGGAGGCCAAAGCGCGGCUGCCGCGGUCCGCCGAGCCGGGCUCCGCCCCGCCCUCGAGCCUCGGCGGCGGCACCUACCCACGUCCGGGCUCUGGGUCCCGGGAGAGGCAGCCUCACGGCCGCACUGCGGCUCAGCCGAGGAGCAGCCGAGAGCCGGCAAAAAAAAAAAAAAAAAAAAGUCGAGGAGAGACUCGUGGCGUUCGGUGGGAGGAUGAAAGCGAGAGCCCGCAGCCCCCGAGCCCGCGGCCCCGCCGGCCCCGCCUCCUCCGGACCCCGCAGCCGAGGGCGCCGCUUCGGGUCGGAACUCGCCCGGCCCGGCCGAGUGUGCAGGAGCAAGGGCCGCCCUGUCCUCGGCCCGCAUCGCCCGGACGCGUCCCCGCCAACCCCGCACCCACUUUCGGGAGCGGCAAGUCGCGGCGCGCCCCGUGACCCAGCUCGUCCUCCCGACGCGGGUCCAACCCGCGGGCUCGGCCGCAGGGCACCGCUCGCCGUCCUCGCAGCCUGCGCGGCGCAGGCACCGAAGUCGCUCGGGGGGAGCGGAGGGAGCGCGCGGGCAGCCGAGACGCGGCGCCCCCCGCCCCGCCCCGCCCCCCGGGGUGCCGGCUCGGGCCCACUCACCGCGGCCGGCGCUCCCCGCUCCCCGCUCCCCGGCGCCGGCUCCCGGAGUCCGCAGCCGCGGCGGCUCGGGACCGCGAGGGGGCAGGGCGGCGCGGGGCGGGGCUCGGCCGCGGCCGCAGGUAACAAUGCGGCGGACCCGCCCGCUCCCGCCCGGUCCCGGCGCCCGCCAAGGGCAGCACGUCCUUUCCUGCCCGGCCCCUUCCCCCUCCCGGCCUCCGGCCUCCGGCCUCCGAGCGGCGGCGGCGCUCACCUGCGCCCACCGGGGCCCGGGGGCCCGAAGCCGCCGCCCGCACGCCGCUCCCCGCACCCGGAGGCCCCGAGGGCGGCAGGGGCGGCGGGAACCCGACAGCGAGGACGGUUAACGGGAACCGCUCGGUUAUAG